UCCUACGGGAGGCAGCAGUGGGGAAUUUUGGACAAUGGGCGAAAGCCUGAUCCAGCAAUGCCGCGUGUGUGAAGAAGGCCUUCGGGUUGUAAAGCACUUUUGUCCGGAAAGAAAUCCUUGGCUUUAAUACAGUCGGGGGAUGACGGUACCGGAAGAAUAAGCCCCGGCUAACUACGUGCCAGCAGCCGCGGUAAUACGUAGGGUGCGAGCGUUAAUCGGAAUUACUGGGCGUAAAGCGUGCGCAGGCGGUUUGCUAAGACCGAUGUGAAAUCCCCGGGCUCAACCUGGGAACUGCAUUGGUGACUGGCAGGCUAGAGUAUGGCAGAGGGGGGUAGAAUUCCACGUGUAGCAGUGAAAUGCGUAGAGAUGUGGAGGAAUACCGAUGGCGAAGGCAGCCUCCCUGGGCCAAUACUGACGCUCAGCACG
RNAcentral lists this ribosomal RNA (426 nucleotides) under uncultured Burkholderia sp. RNAcentral's name for it is "bacterial SSU rRNA". It matches the Rfam family "Bacterial small subunit ribosomal RNA", at positions 337 to 755 of the family's 1533-position model. Lineage: Bacteria; Pseudomonadati; Pseudomonadota; Betaproteobacteria; Burkholderiales; Burkholderiaceae. The record is from RNAcentral.